UGCACGCGGGGAAUGUUGGGAGAAUACGAGAGAAGCGUAUUCUCCCAACGCUUCUCGAGUAUUCUCACAACAUUCGCCGAGUGCA
This is a non-coding RNA of Paramuricea clavata, 85 nucleotides long. The record is from the annotation of a GenBank genome assembly. NCBI's taxonomy places the organism in Eukaryota, Metazoa, Cnidaria, Anthozoa, Malacalcyonacea, Plexauridae.